UCGAGCGAAAAAAUUAAGAAUGAGACCAGUGGAAUACUGUAUAUGUGCCUAUCUGUGCUGCACAAGCGUUAGCGUUGUGCUAGCGUGUUGCUGCUGUGUUACUGGCGUGUCUCAGUGAUAUUUACCGGUUCGAUGAGCUUGAACUCCAUGCCACGGCCCGUCCAGGCGAUGAAAUGUGAGUUGGCGGGGUCAUCCAGCAGCGCGACCAGGAACUGCCACAGCUGAAGAGACCCUCGCCGCUGGUAGGACGGACCCUCGCGGUACAGGCCCGCUUCCUGCUUGAUGUCCCCUAGAAGCAGGAAACACACUGAGGAGUGCCGGCCUUCGUUGUUAAAUGGCAGCGCGGCGGCGGAGACAAAACGUGUGGCCUCAUUUUACACCUCCGCACUUCCCUGCUAAGUUAUGCUAAUGGUAAGCAUCUGUGGAGAUGAGACAAAGAAGAAGCUUCUUCCUUCUCCACGCUUCCACCAUGCUGCUCACCCUAACCCGCGCCAGCGUGACAUUGAAGACGACCGCCAAGUCCAAGUCCAAGUCCGACACGUUACGGCCGGAAAGACGACCCGAAAGUCACUCGGAUAUUUACCGUGCUAAUACUAGCGACGAGAAUGUGCGCCCGUGUCCGUUAUAGCGGACGAGCUAAAAGGAAAAGAAGCGCCGUUUGUGUGCGUUGCUGCUCAUUGAAAACCCCCAAAAAUGAAAAAAGAAAAAAAAAAUGUUUUUAAAGAUCUGUUUUCUAAUUUAUGGUCUGGUUGAACGUUUUAGUGUUUAGUCGUCUUUUGUUAUUAAGAGCCGUUUGUAUGUGCUGCUGCUCCACGUGUUUGUAAAGUAGCCGUUUGAAAGUCCGGAAUCAUCGCAACCUCGAACGUUUAAGAAUGUCGCAGUCUGUGCAGUGUUUGUUUUUUGUUUUUUUAAUUAAAAAAAUUAAAAGUCAAA
Long non-coding RNA from Syngnathoides biaculeatus (alligator pipefish), 933 nucleotides. RefSeq lists it as uncharacterized. The record is from RefSeq and is a predicted model, not a curated record. Lineage: Eukaryota; Metazoa; Chordata; Actinopteri; Syngnathiformes; Syngnathidae. The transcript has 3 exons.